This 512-nucleotide ribosomal RNA is filed under the name uncultured bacterium. Its description in RNAcentral is "bacterial SSU rRNA". It matches the Rfam family "Bacterial small subunit ribosomal RNA", at positions 32 to 518 of the family's 1533-position model. The record is from RNAcentral.
AAUCAACGCUGGCGGCGUGCCUCAGACAUGCAAGUCGAACGCGAAAUGUCUCUUCGGGGAGAAAGUAGAGUGGCGCACGGGUGAGUAACACGUAGGUAAUCUACCUUUGGAUGGGGAAUAACACCGAGAAAUCGGUGCUAAUACCGCAUAAUGCAGCGGCACCUAAUGGUGACAGUCGUUAAAGCGGGGGAUCGCAAGACCUCGCGUCUAAAGAGGAGCCUGCGGCGGAUUAGCUAGUUGGUAAGGUAAUGGCUUACCAAGGCGACGAUCCGUAACCGGCCUGAGAGGGCGGUCGGUCACACUGACACUGACAUACGGGUCAGACUCCUACGGGAGGCAGCAGUCGGGAAUUUUGGGCAAUGGGCGAAAGCCUGACCCAGCAACGCCGCGUGAAGGAUGAAAUCCCUCGGGAUGUAAACUUCGCAAGAACGGGAAGAAUAAGCCGGUGUGAAUACCACCGGCGAUGACGGUACCGUUUGUAAGCUCCGGCUAACUCCGUGCCAGCAGCCGAC